This 842-nucleotide long non-coding RNA is filed under the name Homo sapiens (human). Its description in RNAcentral is "HSALNT0040584". The record is from RNAcentral. Lineage: Eukaryota; Metazoa; Chordata; Mammalia; Primates; Hominidae.
CUUGCUGGAGGGAGAGCACACAGAUGAGCGGGUGCAGAGGCCAGGAUGUGUGCUUCUGGGAAACUGGCAGGAACAGAACUCUACGGGCCUGCAGCAGCAUCUAUGGGUUGCCAGUUACUCCCAGAGUCCCAGAGGGCAUGUGUUACAGUGCACUCUUUUAGCUUCGCCAUCCGUGGAUGGCUUAAGUAUUAAACAGCUCAGCAGAGGCUCAGUGUGACAGUCUUUUGCACCUGAAACUGGGUCCUUGUCGGCACCCAGGAGGAGUGAGGAUGCAUGGACAAAUAGGAGGGUGGUGAAUGCAGAAGAUUUUAUUGCCUAUAGAAGUUGUUUCCAGCAGGAAGGAGGCACUGGGAAGGGGAUGGAGCGGGAAGGUAAUCUUCGCCUGAGUUUCGACCAUCCCCAACCGAACUCCUCUCCGAUCAUUGUCUCCGAUGUCCAGCUGCUGCUUUUCUGGACUUUCAGCAUUUUGUAUAUUUGAGGAAGAAGACAUUUUGGAGACAUUCUAUCUUAAAAGGAUAAAGAAGUAAUUGACCUGUUCUAGUUGGUUAAUUUCUUUUUUACUCAACAUAAACUAGGUGGAAUGUGUUAUCAUAACAAUAGACAUAUAGAUUGAAAAGAAAGAAAAAGGUCAGCAAACUUCCCAGCAGGCAUUGAGUAAACUGCCUAAGGUAACACUGCAAUUUCUAUUGCCUUCUAAACUACUGGAUCACCCACUAUUUUUCAAACAUAAUACUAUAUUCGGUAAAGAUCAAAAUGAGAUAUGAUAUUUGCCCUUAAUCAACUUGCAUUUUAAUUGCAAUGCCAAUUCAUGUGAAUAUGAAGACAUAAAUGAGUAAGAAUGU